This 448-nucleotide ribosomal RNA is filed under the name uncultured bacterium. RNAcentral describes it as "bacterial SSU rRNA". It matches the Rfam family "Bacterial small subunit ribosomal RNA", at positions 355 to 796 of the family's 1533-position model. The record is from RNAcentral.
UCGAGAAUUUUUCUCAAUGGGCGAAAGCCUGAAGGAGCGACGCCGCGUGGGGGAUGAAGGGCUUCGGCCCGUAAACCCCUGUCAUUUGCGAACAAACCUUCCGAUCUAACACGUCGGAAGCUGAUUGUAGCGAAAGAGGAAGGGACGGCUAACUCUGUGCCAGCAGCCGCGGUAAUACAGAGGUCCCAAGCGUUGUUCGGAUUCACUGGGCGUAAAGGGUGCGUAGGUGGCAGGGUAAGUUUGAUGUGAAAUCUCCGGGCUUAACCCGGAAACUGCAUUGAAUACUAUCCUGCUCGAGGGUUGGAGGGGGGACUGGAAUUCUCGGUGUAGCAGUGAAAUGCGUAGAUAUCGAGAGGAACACCAGUGGCGAAGGCGAGUCCCUGGACAACUCCUGACACUGAGGCACGAAAGCUAGGGGAGCAAACAGGAUUAGAUACCCCCGUAGUCC